This is a long non-coding RNA of Lathyrus oleraceus (garden pea), 855 nucleotides long. RefSeq lists it as uncharacterized. The record is from RefSeq and is a predicted model, not a curated record. Lineage: Eukaryota; Viridiplantae; Streptophyta; Magnoliopsida; Fabales; Fabaceae. The transcript is spliced from 2 exons.
CUGAAACAUUUUCAAAAAUUUAUAGUGGUAAAUGCAUUUGUUACUAACAUAAAGGUUAAGAUGAGAGUCACAAAUUUGGGGUGAAGACAAAAAGUCCCAGAAGAGUCCGUACGAACACUCACCUGCACCCUAAGGUAAUGUUACCAUCAACGGUACAGAAAAGGACAUAGGAGAGGGACCACAGAGAGAAUUUUUUUUGAGGCUUUUUACAAUCGGAAGAGGACUACAUAAAGACACAAAGAGGCAUGUUAAGGAGGUAGCCGAAAAAACCUAAUUUUUUAGAAGAGCCGCUACUGUUCACUAACAAGGAAGGAAGAGCUCGGCGAAAUCAAAAAGCAUAGGACGAACGGGAGCUCACAACAGACGAACAAGAAGAAAGAAAACGUCGGGCGAAACGCUUACCUACAUCUGUCGGUCAAUCUCGCCGCAACUGCAUUAGCAGCUUUCGUGAGAAAAAUCAUAUCUUGAGCUAGGAGUAUCGGAUUGAGACGUGUUACCAGUCGAUGGAAAGUUAAGAAAAAUAUCUACAACUUUUGUUCAGAAGUCGAGAGCUGAAUCAGACUGUAGCAGGGUCAGAAAUUUCGUUGAAGCUGCUGCAUUAUUUUUAUAUUUUGUUUGGGUUAGUUGUAUUGGGCCCGGAUCGUACAUUUGACCCGGUUGAGUUGUGAAACGGGUUUGGGUGUUUUUACCUAGGUUAGGCAGCCAAAAACAGUGUUACGUUUUUCUGUUCAUGUACGAUUUUUUUGAGAGCUAGCAAGAUGACUAUGGAGAACUAAUCCCUUUUGAAUCAACCUGCUGUAAUUCAGAAUCCGCUUUGAGGUUUUUAUUAAUUCCAAUUUGUUUCCUUUGAAUUCU